UGGCGGACGGGUGGAGUAAUGUCUGGGAAACUGCCUGAUGGAGGGGGAGUAACUACUGGAAACGGUAGCUAAUACCGCAUAACGUCGCAAGACCAAAGAGGGGGACCUUCGGGCCUCUUGCCAUCGGAUGUGCCCAGAUGGGAUUAGCUAGUAGGUGGGGUAACGGCUCACCUAGGCGACGAUCCCUAGCUGGUCUGAGAGGAUGACCAGCCACACUGGAACUGAGACACGGUCCAGACUCCUACGGGAGGCAGCAUG
Molecule: ribosomal RNA, 258 nt
Filed under: uncultured bacterium
Lineage: Bacteria
Description: partial 16S ribosomal RNA
Rfam family: Bacterial small subunit ribosomal RNA
Source: RNAcentral